GACGAACGCUGGCGGCGUGCUUAACACAUGCAAGUCGAACGGAAAGGCCCUGCUUUUGUGGGGUGCUCGAGUGGCGAACGGGUGAGUAACACGUGAGUAACCUGCCCCUGACUUUGGGAUAACUUCAGGCAACUGGGGCUAAUACCGGAUAGGAGCUCCUGCUGCAUGGUGGGGGUUGGAAAGUUUCGGCGGUUGGGGGUGGACUCGCGGCUUAUCAGCUUGUUGGGGGGGUAGUGGCUUACCAAGGCCUUGACGGGUAGCCGGCCUGCGAGGGUGACCGGCCACAUUGGGACUGGGAUACGGCCCAGACUCCUACGGGAGGCAGCAGUGGGGAAUAGUGCACAAUGGGCGGAAGCCUGAUGCAGCAACGCCGCGUGCGGGAUGACGGCCUUCGGGUUGUAAACCGCUUUCGCCUGUGACGAAGCGUGAGUGACGGUAAUGGGUAAAGAAGCACCGGCUAACUACGUG
RNAcentral lists this ribosomal RNA (468 nucleotides) under uncultured bacterium. RNAcentral's name for it is "partial 16S ribosomal RNA". It matches the Rfam family "Bacterial small subunit ribosomal RNA", at positions 28 to 507 of the family's 1533-position model. The record is from RNAcentral.